Molecule: microRNA precursor, 195 nt
Filed under: Prunus dulcis (almond)
Lineage: Eukaryota; Viridiplantae; Streptophyta; Magnoliopsida; Rosales; Rosaceae
Description: sRNA ncRNA
Source: RNAcentral
GGGUGAGAGUGAGGAUGAGAUUGAGAGAGAGGAUGAGAGGGGACAAUGGGAAGUAAUAAAAGUGAAAACAAAACUUGAAAAUGAAAACAAUUACAAAUAUAUUUCAAUUUUUAAUUUUUGCUUUCACUUUUGUUUCUACUUUCCCCCAUUCUCCCCUCUCAUCUUCCCUCUCAAUCUCAUCUUCACUUUCAUUUU